ACAAAACAAUGGACUACACACUAGUGUGCAAGAGUGUAACAUUACAGUGUUUGUCUCCUCUACUUUAGUCUCCUCGGGAAGAAGAGACGCUGAGACCCUGCAGAGCCAGCACUAUUGAAGUUUCACUUCUGCUUUUGACCACCCUCGGGUGACUGAAGAUUUUCCUACCAACGCAAACUCCAAUGUGUCCAACAACACAGAGGGAAACACACACAUUUAGACUGUGUGUACGAAAUGGAAAAAAAACAUUCUGCCUUUUAAGAUACAGCGGGGGAAAUAAGUAUUGAAUGCGUCAACAUUUUUUUCAUGAACAGACCUCUGAAGUUCGCAGACAAAAAGGACCCAAAAGCUGCCGUCUCUGCCCAUAUAAGGAGAUGUGGAUUUCGCAACUUCAGUGGUCUAUGGAAUCAGACUGUGAGUUGUCUGUAGGGGGUUUUAGUGUAACAGAAGUGAAACCUCCGACAUGAAAGUGGCAUGGAUAUCAUAAAGCCUUGUCAUAAAUCCUUCUGACCAAAGUCUAGAAAUGAAAGCAGUGGUUCAGGGAUCUGUAGAUCAUGAGAUGAUCAGUGGGAGACGAAAGAAGAAACACAAAUCUGCUCUCAGUUUUCGGGCCUUUUUCUCUAAUCUUUGAUUUGUGGUGAGAUAACUGAUCAUUUGAACAUUUAUAUUGGCUGCUCAACUGUCCUGAUCAAUCAAUCGAUUUGUUGUCAUGGAGCUAACAGGGCCAGGAAUAGCAUUGCUGGUUUGCCCACUUUAGGGUAGAAUGGGGCGGUAGUGUAGUGGUUAAGGAGCUGGGCUAGCAUGCAGUAAACUGAAAAGUUGUGGAUUAAAAUCUAAAUAAAUAAAUAAGAAUGAUAACCUGGAAAUCUGAAUGAAAACCUGGCAUUACUGGUUUUCUCUUCUAUCCCUUACAUUAAAGGUAUUCUAUGCAGUUUCAGGUAUUUUGGCAAUUGUAGAACUCCCCCUAGUCGCAAUAUAUUUAUAUUUUACUCUGCCAUUAUAAUAGCCUACUUCUAGUGGCUUGUUCCCCCUGUACACAAUGUCAAUGACAAUGUCGGCUGGCUCUCUUGUUAAUGACUCACUGUGGCUAUGCUGUAUGACUGGUGAACAGUUCCCCUAUUAAGUUUGUUUACUAUCAAAUUGGCUUCGUAAAGGUUACAUUAAAGAUCUCAUGCCAUUAAAAUCUAA
This is a long non-coding RNA of Alosa sapidissima (American shad), 1188 nucleotides long. RefSeq lists it as uncharacterized. NCBI's taxonomy places the organism in Eukaryota, Metazoa, Chordata, Actinopteri, Clupeiformes, Clupeidae. The record is from RefSeq and is a predicted model, not a curated record. The transcript is spliced from 3 exons.